RNAcentral lists this long non-coding RNA (573 nucleotides) under Homo sapiens (human). Its description in RNAcentral is "novel transcript". Lineage: Eukaryota; Metazoa; Chordata; Mammalia; Primates; Hominidae. The record is from RNAcentral.
ACGAAACCCCACAGCUCCUAAGAAUUCUCUCACCUGCCUUCUGCCCUUAAGCUCCGGUAGAUUGCAAAUAACCUGCUUUCUUUCUGUUCCCGAGCUGCGUUCGGACCCAUGUCUUAUUGUAAAUCCCACGCAAGCUGCGUUCGGACCCGUCUGAUCGUAAAUCCCAUGUAAGGUACCUGCCGUCGGAAGAUUUGAACGUUCUACUUGGACACCUAAAACCCACAGUCCUCCAGAAAACACAAGGACAAACCCUACUGUGAAGCAGUGGAGACUGGAGUCCUGCAUUUGCUGAACUUUCUUUUUAUGUGUUGGAUUCUGAUUUUAUAUUCAUUUCCAUUCAUGUGGACUCUGAAGAGUUAAACUCACCAAGGACACUUGAAGAAGUCACGUCCAGGGAUCACUGUCAUCACAAAUGGAGAAAAGGCCAAUGUCUUUCCAUGCUGCCUCACCAGAAAAGGACUGAGUUGAGAUAUUUUACAGCUGAGAAGGAAAUUAUGCAGCCUGUAGGAUAAAUUCCUCUCCUGGCAGAUUGAGUGGAUGUAGCACCAGAAGCUCCCAGAAUAAUCACAACUU